Molecule: transfer RNA, 70 nt
Filed under: Streptococcus agalactiae FSL S3-603
Lineage: Bacteria; Bacillati; Bacillota; Bacilli; Lactobacillales; Streptococcaceae
Description: tRNA-Asn
Rfam family: tRNA
About the family: Transfer RNA (tRNA) molecules are approximately 80 nucleotides in length. Their secondary structure includes four short double-helical elements and three loops (D, anti-codon, and T loops). Further hydrogen bonds mediate the characteristic L-shaped molecular structure. tRNAs have two regions of fundamental functional importance: the anti-codon, which is responsible for specific mRNA codon recognition, and the 3' end, to which the tRNAs corresponding amino acid is attached (by aminoacyl-tRNA synthetases). tRNAs cope with the degeneracy of the genetic code in two manners: having more than one tRNA (with a specific anti-codon) for a particular amino acid; and 'wobble' base-pairing, i.e. permitting non-standard base-pairing at the 3rd anti-codon position.
Source: RNAcentral
GCCAUAGCUCAGUUGGUAGUAGCACAUGACUGUUAAUCAUGAUGUCGUAGGUUCGAGUCCUACUGGCGGA